This 253-nucleotide ribosomal RNA is filed under the name uncultured bacterium. RNAcentral's name for it is "partial 16S ribosomal RNA". It matches the Rfam family "Bacterial small subunit ribosomal RNA", at positions 524 to 776 of the family's 1533-position model. The record is from RNAcentral.
UACGUAGGGGGCCAGCGUUGCUCGGAAUUACUGGGCGUAAAGGGUUCGUAGGUGGUGCGGCAAGUUGGGAGUGAAAUCUCCGGGCUUAACUCGGAGGCUGCUUUCAAAACUGCCGCGCUCGAGUGCGGGAGAGGCCAGUGGAAUUGCAGGUGUAGCGGUGAAAUGCGUAGAUAUCUGCAGGAACACCCGUGGCGAAGGCGGCUGGCUGGACCGCAACUGACACUGAGGAACGAAAGCUAGGGGAGCAAACAGG